UGCCCAGACUCCUACGGGAGGCAGCAGUGGGGAAUAUUGCACAAUGGGGGGAACCCUGAUGCAGCGACGCCGCGUGGGUGAAGGAGCACCUCGGUGCGUAAAGCCCUAUCGGCAGGGAAGAAAAGCGAACAGGUUCGCCUGGACGGUACCUGACUAAGAAGCCCCGGCUAACUACGUGCCAGCAGCCGCGGUAAUACGUAGGGGGCAAGCGUUAUCCGGGUUCACUGGGUGUAAAGGGAGCGUAGACGGCGACGCAAGCAUGGAGGGAAAGCCCGGGGCCCAACCCCGGGACUGCCCUUGGAACUGUGCGGCUAGAGUGCGGGAGGGGCAGGCGGAAUUCCUGGUGUAGCGGUGAAAUGCGUAGAUAUUAGGAGGAACACCAGUGGCGAAGGCGGCUUACUGGACUGUAACUGACGUUGAGGCUCGAAAGCGUGGGGAGCAAACAGGAUUAGAUACCCGGGUAACA
This 466-nucleotide ribosomal RNA is filed under the name uncultured bacterium. Its description in RNAcentral is "bacterial SSU rRNA". It matches the Rfam family "Bacterial small subunit ribosomal RNA", at positions 328 to 795 of the family's 1533-position model. The record is from RNAcentral.